Long non-coding RNA from Haliotis rufescens (red abalone), 478 nucleotides. RefSeq lists it as uncharacterized. The transcript has 3 exons. NCBI's taxonomy places the organism in Eukaryota, Metazoa, Mollusca, Gastropoda, Lepetellida, Haliotidae. The record is from RefSeq and is a predicted model, not a curated record.
CAUAUAUAUGCCAAAUAACACCAGAUAACACACAUGUCGAUUUUUUAGGGGUUGGUGUUGAUAACGUUGGUUUGCUGUCGACGUAGACUACACCAGACCAAACUCGUUUACAUAUUGAUCCUACCUGAACUUCGUUGUCAAGACUCUUGGUCUCCGUGGUCUAGUGGAUGGAGCGUCUGCCCGGGGAGCGGAAGGUCGAUGGUUAGAUCCUCCGGCCGCGUCAUACCAAAAGAUGGUACUUGUUGUUUCCUUGCCUGGCUCCGAAGAGAGGGGAUAAAACAAGGAUUUGUAGGCUCGGUGUAAGAAUGAUAGUUUUCAAGCAUCUCCAACUGAAAGGGCUAACAAUUAUUCAUGCGGACAUGGUGUCAACUUUAGGAGAUGAUCCUCCUUCAUUUUCGACUGUAAGAGGUGGGCAGCAGUGUUCAAGACGAAAAGGCAGGGUCUUGAACACGACUGCAACCGCUAAGAAAAUGUAAUA